UCAGACGGUGCGAGUAAGCAUACGAGUCGGUCUAGUCAGUUACUGCAGUGCAGCUACUCACACCGUGUGAACACAUCAUGCCAGUUAGUGUCAUGAGUAAUCCGGCGUGCGAGCUACUUCAAAGUUUUUUGAUUUUACUCGCACUCGCAUCCCUAAAAACGUCAAAAACAGCAUUUAGCGCUCGAAUCGGGGAUGCCAAACGUAAAGAAAUGUCUCCAUUUUGAAGAUAUUUCAAAAUAUUAACAAACUCGAAAAUUCUUGGAAAACAAAUAAAACCCACAUAGUUUCUAAAUAAAAUCGUUGUUAUUUUGUUUUAUACUCUUUCUUUUUGAGAUAGUUUUCUUGAAAACAAAAACAUAAGCCAUCCAUGAGUGAAGACAUCAGAUGAUAAUUCCAUAUGCCGUGCAAGGAUAUUUGAGAAAGAUACCUGGCAUCCCUAAUCAAAGAUAGAAUAUCUAUAUUAAAUGGCGGCAUCCGUGUUUGUGAGGCAAAUUUCUCUAUCAGAUUAGUAUACUUGAAGGCAGUUUUAAACCGUUAAAAUUUGAAUGAAAAUUUCAUACAUACAUUAUUUGACCAUUUAAAGCACGUGACCCUGAUCCUCAAUAAACUAUUUUCCUAUAUAUUUUUUUUAUAUUUCCACCAAAACUUAUCAUUAUAGUAUAAAGUUAUCAUCAGACACAAUUUUCGUUCAAGAUUCACUCACUACUUGCAGAAAAAGUAUUGUUCUAUUAAACAGAAUACAUAUUCGAUUUGAAAAAGUUCAUUUUCAUUCAUAAUUUCAAUUUUUGACGCGUAUUUAUUCCACCUGUAAAUCAACUAUCAUUUUCACUUCACAAAUCGGCACAAGAAGCUGCUGUCAAGGCGAAAUACGAAGAGAUAGUAGUCCGUGUGCAUUCUGUUUGUUUGCAUGUUUUUUCGUGUUAGCAGCAGCAGUUAAAAGCAAAAAAAUGACGCAAAGAUGGAAUUCGGAACAAAAUGAACACUUUGUGGAAUUAUAUAAAGAACAAACCAUUUUGUGGAACUGUAUGGAUCCCAAUUAUAAAAACAGAGAUUUGCGUAAAGCCUCGCUUGAAUACAUUCGUUCAGAAGUGGGGUUAUCGGAUACGAAAGAAGUUACAAAAAAAAUAAAAAAUUUACGUUCUACAUACAACCAGGAGAAAUUAAAAAUUGAGAAAAGCAAACGAAGCGGAUGUGGUACUGAUGAGAUAUAUAAACCUUCCGUCCAAUGGUUCGAUGCCAUGGAUUACAUCAUGAAUAUUAUUCAUCUGAAGGAAAAACAAACAAUAAGUAAUCUAGUAAGUUAUUUUCUUCUAUUAUAUAAUGCACUAUAACACUAAAUAUAUAUAUACAUUACUAAAUGAUUCGAUAUUAUACUAUACUGCAACUAUACUACACUAUAUUAUACUGUAUUCUCUAAUUAAUAAAUCAUAUUAUUUUGCCAAGUAACCGCUCCCUCGCUAUUAAAGUAAUGUUUAUAUUUAUCUCUCAUUUUCUCUGCAAUAGCCUUUGAUCUAUUAUUCAUCCGUGAGCGUUGAAUGCUUCGUAAACCCUCAAUCUCUGACCUCCACUGCCCUAAAUUAAUUUCAAAAUUUAUUAUGUCUUCAUAGUCAAUUGUUCCUGGUGGAGUAUACGUUUUCGAUGCAGACAUACGCAACCAGUUGUGUAAAGUACAUGCACAUAAAACUAUCUUCAUUGCGGUAUCCUCUCUAACCUGGAUUGGUUUUCCCAAAAUACGAAAACGAGAUGCUAAAAUGCCAAAUCCAUUUUCAACUAUUCUCCUUGCUCUGCUCAAUCUGUAGUUAAAAAUCUUUUCUUCUUUAGUCGGUGUAUUUUUAUAGGGCUUCAAUAAAUACGGCUUUAAUGGAAACGCAUCAUCACCUACUAAAACGCCAUUUUCAGGCAAUAGAAUAUUGUUUUCUAGAUGAGAAUAUAAAGAGCAUUUUUGAAAUAUCCCACCAUCUGCGUUACGACCGUAUGAGCCUAUAUCAACAUAUCUAAAACAAUAAUCGUGAUCCACGAUUGCCAUUAACACUAUGCUAUUCGUUCCCUUAUAGUUGUAAUAUUCACUACCACAAUUAGGUGGUGCUUGAAUUGUGAUGUGCUUCCCAUCAAUAGCUCCAUAGCAACCUGGGAAGUUCCACCUUGAAUGGAAUCCUACUCCUAUAUCUUGCCAUUCUUCCUUAUUCGGCAUCUGAAAAAUUAAAAUAUAAUUGAACCAUUUCAUGCAUCAACAUCUGGGAGCGAUUUUGCUGAAGAAAUUACAAUAAUCGAUGAGGAGUACCUCGAUGCUACUGAUGAAAACAACGCUGAUGAAAUCCUACCAAAGAAGCCAUCGAACAGAAGAUCGAAGAAGAAAUUGUCAACUGAGCAGUCUACAAUACAAGCGGCCGUGAAUGAACUGAAGGAACUGAAUAAUAAUUUAACAGUGUCUGCCUCGAGUAUGGGAGAACCAGAAGAUGAAUGUGAGGCAAUUGGAAGACAUGUUAUAAUGCAGCUCAGACAGUUAUCCCCAAUUGAUAGAAUUGAUGCGACAGAUGAAAUACAUGCAAUUCUUUCUAGAUACCGUAAGAAUGCCCUCUGCGUCAGUAGAAUGCAAUACACAUAUUCUGAUCACGAAUAUACUGAAACAUCACAGGCGACUGUAGGUUUUCCACCAAGAUCACCCUAACGUCCUACAUCUUCACAAUCAAAUCAACAGUCGCAAAUACUAUAACCAAGUCAUGCAAUAUUGUACUAUUUUUAAGGAUCACUUUCCAUACAAUAGAACUUAGAUAAUAAAAAAAGCUACUUACUUUAAUAAAAUCUUUUAGACUGAAAUUUAUAGCGUCACAUACUUCCGGAAUUAUCUUAGCUAUGGAUGCCUUCGAGAUUCUAAAAAAUAUCGACAAUAAUCUGAACGAUAUUCCAGAGGAGAGGUACACCAAAGUAAUUUCUAAUUUCACUCUUGCAGGUAUAGCACCCCUCAUAAGUGUAUCUUGGCGUUGUAUUUUUGGAGCAAUUAAAUCCAAUAGUGUUUCCACUUGUUCUGGUGUUACUCUCAACACUGCUCUGUACUCUCGGGGAUCAUUAUCGUAGAGUUCGUUCAGUAUUGUAUUUGUUGCUCCUUUUUUUUGCAUCCAAUUCCUGGCCCAAAUCCUUUUGCCUUUCUGCUUUUUCCGAAUAGUACCUUCAGCUCGAAGUAAUUCAGCACAAAGUAUUUUUGUAACCGCUUUUGUCACGGUACGAACUACAGUCAGCCGUGUUUUGCUGGACAACAUUGUAUACGGUAUAAACUACGGUUAGCGUGUAUUUCGGGAUCAAAUUGUGUGAUAAUAAAUGCAACUGAAAACCUGAGAUAAAAACUGCCAAUAGAGAUGUCGAUUUCGGAUCAAUUAUCUGUCAAAUUCUGAUCUGAUUCCUGUUUCUCAUUAUUUGAUGUACAUUUGAAAAAUCACCUGGCAUCCCUGGUAAACCCGUGCUGUUGUAUCUAGUUACAUGCCAACAACUCACACUGUGUGAACAGACAAGGCGAGUCAACCGAUUGUCAAGCGAGUCCACCGGGUCAGUAGCUGCUCACUGUCAAGUCAGCUACUAGCAACGUAUAAAUGGGCCUUUAAGCCGAUAAAAAUGCAUU
This is an RNA transcript of Toxorhynchites rutilus septentrionalis, 3613 nucleotides long. RefSeq lists it as uncharacterized. NCBI's taxonomy places the organism in Eukaryota, Metazoa, Arthropoda, Insecta, Diptera, Culicidae. The record is from RefSeq and is a predicted model, not a curated record. The transcript has 2 exons.